This is a long non-coding RNA of Solanum dulcamara, 617 nucleotides long. RefSeq lists it as uncharacterized. The record is from RefSeq and is a predicted model, not a curated record. NCBI's taxonomy places the organism in Eukaryota, Viridiplantae, Streptophyta, Magnoliopsida, Solanales, Solanaceae. The transcript is spliced from 3 exons.
GUUGUCAAUUGCAACGGUGUAGAGGUGCAAUGUCAGGGUUCGGCUCCUACAAUUUCAAUCGACAAUACAAAUGGAUGCCAGUUAUACUUGAACAAAGAUUCUUUAGAGGGUUCUCUUACCACAGCUAAGUCGAGUGAAAUCAAUGUUUUGGUUCCUGGUGAUGGGCCUGAUGAUGAUUGGGGUGAGCAUGCUUUGCCACAGCAGUAUGCUCAUGAAUACAAGGACGGACGCUUCGUGACUACUCCUGUCUCCCACUCUGGAGCUUAGCUGGUGAAAAUUUUCUGCAUCCAGUUGUUUUCCUUUUUAUUUUUUUUAAUUAUUUUUUUGUUUACCAAUUUGAUAUAUUGGAGAGUUGAAAGAUGGUCGAUUCUUUUCUUUCUUGAUUGUAAGUUAUGUUCUGUACCCUUGUGUUUGUUCAAAGUAAGGGGGCUCUGUGACUUUUCUGUCGUCACAUUUUUGUUAUUUUGUACCAGAGCUUGACCUUUUAAAACUCUUUUUUUUUGUGAAACAUUAUAUAAUUUCCAUAGCCCAUGUAAUCUUCCGUUCUAUGUUUUAAAAUGGAGAAGUCCUAAUCAGUUGGAAAAACUGUGGUCAACUAUGAAAUUGUUCCGUUAAAG